RNAcentral lists this transfer RNA (74 nucleotides) under Mollicutes bacterium. Its description in RNAcentral is "tRNA-Cys". It matches the Rfam family "tRNA". Rfam says of the family: Transfer RNA (tRNA) molecules are approximately 80 nucleotides in length. Their secondary structure includes four short double-helical elements and three loops (D, anti-codon, and T loops). The record is from RNAcentral. Lineage: Bacteria; Bacillati; Mycoplasmatota; Mollicutes.
GGAGCCGUAGCCAAGCGGUAAGGCAGAGGACUGCAACUCCUCGAGCACCAGUUCAAAUCUGGUCGGCUCCUCCA